CGCCGUAAACGAUGUCGACUUGGAGGUUGUGCCCUGGAGGCGUGGCUUCCGGAGCUAACGCGUUAAGUCGACCGCCUGGGGAGUACGGCCGCAAGGUUAAAACUCAAAUGAAUUGACGGGGGCCCGCACAAGCGGUGGAGCAUGUGGUUUAAUUCGAUGCAACGCGAAGAACCUUACCUACUCUUGACAUCCAGAGAACUUAGCAGAGAUGCUUUGGUGCCUUCGGGAACUCUGAGACAGGUGCUGCAUGGCUGUCGUCAGCUCGUGUUGUGAAAUGUUGGGUUAAGUCCCGCAACGAGCGCAACCCUUAUCCUUUGUUGCCAGCGGUUCGGCCGGGAACUCAAAGGAGACUGCCAGUGAUAAACUGGAGGAAGGUGGGGAUGACGUCAAGUCAUCAUGGCCCUUACGAGUAGGGCUACACACGUGCUACAAUGGCGCAUACAAAGAGAAGCGACCUCGCGAGAGCAAGCGGACCUCAUAAAGUGCGUCGUAGUCCGGAUUGGAGUCUGCAACUCGACUCCAUGAAGUCGGAAUCGCUAGUAAUCGUGGAUCAGAAUGCCACGGUGAAUACGUUCCCGGGCCUUGUACACACCGCCCGUCACACCAUGGGAGUGGGUUGCAAAAGAAGUAGGUAGCUUAACCUUCGGGAGGGCGCU
RNAcentral lists this ribosomal RNA (656 nucleotides) under Enterobacter cloacae. RNAcentral's name for it is "bacterial SSU rRNA". It matches the Rfam family "Bacterial small subunit ribosomal RNA", at positions 798 to 1454 of the family's 1533-position model. Lineage: Bacteria; Pseudomonadati; Pseudomonadota; Gammaproteobacteria; Enterobacterales; Enterobacteriaceae. The record is from RNAcentral.